ACGCUGGCGGCGUGCUUUACACAUGCAAGUCGUGCGAGAAAGUCACCUUCGGGUGGCGAGUAGAGCGGCGCACGGGUGAGUAUCGCGUGGGUAAUCUGCCUUCGGGUCUGGGACAACUCCGGGAAACUGGAGCUAAUACCAGAUAAGACCACGAGACCUACGGGUCUUGUGGAAAAAGAUGGCCUCUUCUUGAAAGCUAUCGCCUACAGAUGAGCCCGCGUCCCAUUAGCUAGUUGGUGAGGUAAAGGCUCACCAAGGCUUCGAUGGGUAGCUGGUCUGAGAGGAUGGUCAGCCACACUGGAACUGAGACACGGUCCAGACUCCUACGGGAGGCAGCAGUAGGGAAUCUUGGGCAAUGGGCGCAAGCCUGACCCAGCAACGCCGCGUGAGGGAUCAAGGCCCUCGGGUCGUAAACCUCUGUCGGGAGGGAAGAAUGGUCGUUGUGCAAAUAGUGCUUCGGCUUGACGGUACCUCCAAAGGAAGUCCCGGCUAACUCCGUGCCAGCAGCCGCGGUAAUACGGAGGGCGCGAGCGUUGUUCGGAAUCAUUGGGCGUAAAGCGCGUGUAGGCGGCUAGGUAAGUCGGGUGUGAAAUCCCAGGGCCCAACCCCGGAAUUGCAUUCGAAACUGCUUGGCUAGAGUCGCGGAGAGGAUGGCGGAAUUCCCGGUGUAGGGGUGAAAUCCGCUCAGACCCGAAAGCGUGGGGAGCAAACAGGAUUAGAUACCCUGGUAGUCCACGCCGUAAACGUUGAGUGCUCGUCGUCGCGGGUAUUGACCCCUGCGGUGACCAAGCUAACGCGAGAAGCACUCCGCCUGGGGAGUACGGUCGCAAGACUAAAACUCAAAGGAAUUGACGGGGGCCCGCACAAGCGGUGGAGCAUGUGGUUUAAUUGGAAGCAAUGCGCAGAACCUUACCUGGUCUUGACAUGUACGGAACCUCUUGGAAACUUGAGGGUGCCUCGGGGAAUUUAGUGACAGGUGCUGCAUGGCUGUCGUCAGUUUGUGUCGUGAGAUGUUGGGUUAAGUCCCGCAACGAGCGCAACCCCUACCAUUAGUUGCCAUCAGUUCGGCUGGGCACUCUAGUGGGACUGCCGGUGUUAAACCGGAGGAAGGUGGGGAUGACGUCAAGUCCUCAUGGCCUUUAUAUCCAGGGCUACUCACGUGCUACAAUGGUCGGUACAGAGGGUCGCCAACCCGCGAGGGGGAGCCAAUCCGAAAAAGCCGGCCUCAGUUCGGAUUGGAGUCUGCAAUUCGACUCCAUGAAGAUGGAAUCGCUAGUAAUCGGAGAUCAGCACGCUCCGAUGAAUACGUUCCCGGGCCUUGUACACACCGCCCGUCACACCAUGAAAGCUGGUUGAACCAGAAGCCGGUGACCCAACCGCAAGGAGGGAGCCGUCCAAGGUAUGGCUGGUGAUUGGGGUGAAGUCGUAACAAGGUAGCCGUAGGGGAACCUGCGGCUGGAUCACCUCCUUU
This 1471-nucleotide ribosomal RNA is filed under the name uncultured prokaryote. RNAcentral describes it as "partial 16S ribosomal RNA". It matches the Rfam family "Bacterial small subunit ribosomal RNA". The record is from RNAcentral.